UCGGACAUGGUGUAGGGUACACCGCCUCUCGCAUUGCGAAAGAAUUCAUGUUGGAGGCAGAGCGGGGUUCGACUCCCCGUGUCCGAA
Mycena leptocephala is the source of this 87-nucleotide non-coding RNA. NCBI's taxonomy places the organism in Eukaryota, Fungi, Basidiomycota, Agaricomycetes, Agaricales, Mycenaceae. The record is from the annotation of a GenBank genome assembly.